GAUGAACGCUGGCGGCGUGCCUAAUACAUGCAAGUCGAGCGAACAGACGAGGAGCUUGCUCCUCUGACGUUAGCGGCGGACGGGUGAGUAACACGUGGAUAACCUACCUAUAAGACUGGGAUAACUUCGGGAAACCGGAGCUAAUACCGGAUAAUAUAUUGAACCGCAUGGUUCAAUAGUGAAAGACGGUUUUGCUGUCACUUCUAGAUGGAUCCGCGCCGCAUUAGCUAGUUGGUAAGGUAACGGCUUACCAAGGCAACGAUGCGUAGCCGACCUGAGAGGGGGAUCGGCCACACGGGAACUGAGACACGGUCCAGACUCCUACGGGAGGCAGCAGUAGGGAAUCUUCCGCAAUGGGCGAAAGCCUGACGGAGCAACGCCGCGUGAGUGAUGAAGGUCUUCGGAUCGUAAAACUCUGUUAUUAGGGAAGAACAAAUGUGUAAGUAACUAUGCACGUCUUGACGGUACCUAAUCAGAAAGCCACGGCUAACUACGUG
This 497-nucleotide ribosomal RNA is filed under the name uncultured bacterium. RNAcentral describes it as "partial 16S ribosomal RNA". It matches the Rfam family "Bacterial small subunit ribosomal RNA", at positions 28 to 507 of the family's 1533-position model. The record is from RNAcentral.